This is a non-coding RNA of Parasteatoda tepidariorum (common house spider), 469 nucleotides long. The record is from RefSeq and is a predicted model, not a curated record. NCBI's taxonomy places the organism in Eukaryota, Metazoa, Arthropoda, Arachnida, Araneae, Theridiidae.
UUCGUAUCAUACUCUCAGUUUGCAUACUGUUUUCUUCUAAACGUCGGUGUUCUUCGUUGAAUGCGGGACACGAAACUGCUACCUAAUUUACUCUUACUGCAGUCCAAUGUAGUUCACCUAGGCUUCCCGUAACUUAUUGUACUGUUUUAAGCGUGCCAUGGCCUCAGCAGAAAUCGGCAGGCAGAAGCGUUAAAAAUAAGAACAAUGACUAAAACAAAUUUUUGUAUUCUAUUCUACUUCAUUCUAUAUGAUUAAUGAAAACUGCACUGCGUGAGAAUAAAAUAUUAUUCAUUAACGGAAAUAGUUUGUGUCAAAAAAUGUGAUGCAAAAAAUUCAAUGUUUAAAAAGUCUGUCUACAGUCGGCGAAUUAAAGGUAAAGGCUAAGAAAUGGUAUUGAACAUUGAUGGAAUACUACCAGGUAAUAAUUUUAUCAAUGUAAUACAAAUUAAACAUUGAUAUUACGACAUUU